RNAcentral lists this ribosomal RNA (301 nucleotides) under uncultured bacterium. RNAcentral's name for it is "partial 16S ribosomal RNA". It matches the Rfam family "Bacterial small subunit ribosomal RNA", at positions 509 to 807 of the family's 1533-position model. The record is from RNAcentral.
CAGUCGCCGCGGGAAUACGGAGGGUGCGAGCGUUAAUCGGAAUUACUGGGCGUAAAGCGCGCGUAGGCGGCUUGGUAAGUCGAUUGUGAAAGCCCCGGGCUCAACCUGGGAAUUGCAGUCGAGACUGGACGGCUAGAGUGUGUCAGAGGAUGGUGGAAUUCCCGGUGUAGCGGUGAAAUGCGUAGAUAUCGGAAGGAACACCUGUGGCGAGAGCGGCUCACUGGACAAUUACUGACGCUGAUGCACGAAAGCUAGGAGAGCAAACAGGAUUAGAUACCCGCGUAGUCCCUGUCUCUUAUAC